UGUUCUACCUUCUAGUUAUCAAUGUUGCCGUUUGUCUUGGAACCACAGUUUUUUUCCAUGAAAGAAAGCCUGGUUUAGUCAAGAUAAAUGACCAAAACCAUACUAGAUUGCCAGAAUUCUUGAGAAGGCCCAGAUCCUCACCCAUAGCCCAGCAAGGUGCAUAAUACAGCUGCUCUUCCCUGGCUCACCUUCCUCUAUUCCUCUCCUGUAUCCACAGAGCUGAUCAAGGACCUGGUCUUGUUUGCUGCAGGGUUCCUGGUAAGGCCCAUUAUUGACUUCAUAUUUUUGUUCUUCUCACAUCUCCCUCAUCUCCUCUCACAGUCCCCUCCCCAGUCAUGAGGAACUGAUCACCUGUGAUACACAGACUUUGGAGUCUGUGUGGAGGGACAGGCUGUCUUAAAAACCAGGUGUGU
Molecule: long non-coding RNA, 413 nt
Filed under: Lonchura striata (white-rumped munia)
Lineage: Eukaryota; Metazoa; Chordata; Aves; Passeriformes; Estrildidae
Description: domestica (Bengalese finch) lncRNA (ENSLSDG00000008575.1)
Source: RNAcentral